RNAcentral lists this long non-coding RNA (1186 nucleotides) under Piliocolobus tephrosceles (Ugandan red Colobus). Its description in RNAcentral is "lncRNA (ENSPTEG00000018963.1)". Lineage: Eukaryota; Metazoa; Chordata; Mammalia; Primates; Cercopithecidae. The record is from RNAcentral.
AUAUAUAUAUAUAUAUAUAUAUAUAUAUAUAUAUAUAUAUACAUACGUACUCUGUAUAUAAAACGACAUAUGUUUACAUGUACAUAGUUGCAUGUAUAUUUUAUAUUAGCACAUAAAUCUAUCAGUGUAUACGUUUUUAAACAGUUAAAUGUUCACAUAUAACAUUAACUUAAAUUUAUUUAUAUAAUAUACAUAUUUUCGCAUAUAUAUAUAUAUAUAUAUAUAUAUAUAUACACUAAUUUAUAUUUAAAAAUGGGAAGUGAAAAAAGGUCUAAUGAUACACAAAACAGCGAUAAUGAAACUGAGUUCCCCAAUUCAAAAGUGUUGUUAAUUUCAGUAAAAAGAACAAGAAGAUUUUUAGAAAGAACAGCAAGAGAAUUAUUAGCAGGUGGAACUAAAUACAUUAUUCUUAGUAGCUUAGGUGAUGCUUUACCUUUAUGUGUACAAUUACAGUCUUCAUUACAAUCAAAGAAUGCAGCCUUUGUUGUAAAAAUUAAAACAUCUUAUAGCUAUUUCAAUAUGUAUGGUUCAUAUACACCUGGUUUAAAAAUUUAUAUGGAAAAACACCCAGAUUUCAAAGGUUCUAGAAUAUCACCAGGGUAUGUUUCAUUUCAAGAAAAUACUGAAAGCUUUACGCCACUAUUUGACGAAAAUCCUACUGAAUACUUAUGUUCCUUAAAUGCAGGGGAUAGUAAAUUAUAUGUUGGAGGUAAGGGUAUUAAUGGUGCUUUUUCUGAACUUUUGGCAGCAAACGGUCAAGAUGUUGAAAAAUAUGAAGUCUUAUUUAAGGAAUUGUUAGCAAAGGCGGCUAAAGAAAAUGAAGAUAAAUCAGAUGAAGAUGUGAAAUCAGUUUUAUAUGAUAGUGUUACAAAAAAAUUUCCAGAUAUUAAAUUAGCUUUAUGCAGAAUAUGUAAUAAGUUAAAAAAAGGUAAUGAUAACACAGUAGGAUCAGUUUUUAUCACAACUUUUAAAAAAAACUUCCCACAUAAAAAAGAUAGAAAUAUGGGUAUGGUUUAUGUUGUUGGACCAAAAGGAAGUAAUUAUUACAAAGCAGAAGACUUUUUGGAAGCUGUUCAUGAUACAGCAGAAAAUUUGAUGACUGCAUUAUGUGAUUAUAAUGGUUUAGUGAAGAGAGAAGAAAUUAAACAUGCAAGAAUGAGUACAUGUAGAAUCUGUUUAUUUUCUG